Molecule: ribosomal RNA, 835 nt
Filed under: uncultured bacterium
Lineage: Bacteria
Description: bacterial SSU rRNA
Rfam family: Bacterial small subunit ribosomal RNA
Source: RNAcentral
GGGCUCGUAGGUGGUUGAUCGCGUCGGAAGUGUAAUCUUGGGGCUUAACCCUGAGCGUGCUUUCGAUACGGGUUGACUUGAGGAAGGUAGGGGAGAAUGGAAUUCCUGGUGGAGCGGUGGAAUGCGCAGAUAUCAGGAGGAACACCAGUGGCGAAGGCGGUUCUCUGGGCCUUUCCUGACGCUGAGGAGCGAAAGCGUGGGGAGCGAACAGGCUUAGAUACCCUGGUAGUCCACGCUGUAAACGGUGGGUACUAGGUGUGGGGUCCAUUCCACGGGUUCCGCGCCGUAGCUAACGCUUUAAGUACCCCGCCUGGGGAGUACGGCCGCAAGGCUAAAACUCAAAGGAAUUGACGGGGCCCCGCACAAGCGGCGGAGCAUGCGGAUUAAUUCGAUGCAACGCGUAGAACCUUACCUGGGUUUGACAUGGAUCGGGAGUGCUCAGAGAUGGGUGUGCCUCUUUUGGGGUCGGUUCACAGGUGGUGCAUGGCUGUCGUCAGCUCGUGUCGUGAGAUGUUGGGUUAAGUCCCGCAACGAGCGCAACCCUCGCUGUUAGUUGCUACCAGGUUUGGCUGGGCACUCUAACAGGACCGCCGGUGGUAAGCCGGAGGAAGGUGGGGAUGACGUCAAGUCAUCAUGCCCCUUAUGUCCAGGGCUUCACGCAUGCUACAAUGGCUGGUACAGAGAGUGGCGAGCCUGUGAGGGUGAGCGAAUCUCGGAAAGCCGGUCUCAGUUCGGAUUGGGGUCUGCAACUCGACCUCAUGAAGUCGGAGUCGCUAGUAAUCGCAGAUCAGCAACGCUGCGGUGAAUACGUUCCCGGGGCUUGUACACACCGCCC